This 253-nucleotide ribosomal RNA is filed under the name uncultured bacterium. Its description in RNAcentral is "partial 16S ribosomal RNA". It matches the Rfam family "Bacterial small subunit ribosomal RNA", at positions 524 to 776 of the family's 1533-position model. The record is from RNAcentral.
GACAGAGGGUGCAAACGUUGUUCGGAAUUACUGGGCGUAAAGCGCGUGUAGGCGGCUCGGCAAGUCGGGUGUGAAAGCCCUGGGCUUAACCUAGGAAGUGCACUCGAAACUGCCAAGCUUGAGUUCUGGAGAGGAAGGCGGAAUUCUCGGUGUAGAGGUGAAAUUCGUAGAUAUCGAGAGGAACACCCGUGGCGAAGGCGGCUCUCUGGAACGCAACUGACGCUGAGACGCGAAAGCGUGGGGAGCAAACAGG